RNAcentral lists this transfer RNA (87 nucleotides) under Blumeria graminis f. sp. tritici. It matches the Rfam family "tRNA". Rfam says of the family: Transfer RNA (tRNA) molecules are approximately 80 nucleotides in length. RNAcentral also lists the same sequence under 1 other name. The record is from Rfam by way of RNAcentral. Lineage: Eukaryota; Fungi; Ascomycota; Leotiomycetes; Helotiales; Erysiphaceae.
GGUGGUGUGGUGUAAUGGUAGCACGUAACGUUGUGGUUCCCUCACGCAGAUUCCGUUUCAAUCUGGGUUCGAUUCCCAGCACCGCCA